AAUUCAUGUAUGAUUGUGGGCAAAGAAUUGAAAAUCCGUCCCAUUGAAUUUGCUCCAUUCCCUUUAGAGAAUGUGGUAGCAGUAUGUGGUAAGUCUGGAAGAAGACAAAAUUAUUACCAUGAAGGUAUCAAUGAACGUGGACGUGGCAAAGAAUUAAAAUUCCGUCCAAUUGAAUUUGCUCCAUUCCUUUUAGAGAAUGUGGUAGCAGUAUGUGAUAAGU
This 220-nucleotide long non-coding RNA is filed under the name Nicotiana benthamiana. RNAcentral describes it as "long non-coding RNA (NBEN_LNC024107)". Lineage: Eukaryota; Viridiplantae; Streptophyta; Magnoliopsida; Solanales; Solanaceae. The record is from RNAcentral.